This 889-nucleotide ribosomal RNA is filed under the name Amanita aff. vaginata TM02_109. RNAcentral's name for it is "eukaryotic LSU rRNA". It matches the Rfam family "Eukaryotic large subunit ribosomal RNA", at positions 75 to 932 of the family's 3401-position model. The record is from RNAcentral. Lineage: Eukaryota; Fungi; Basidiomycota; Agaricomycetes; Agaricales; Amanitaceae.
UUCCCCUAGUAACUGCGAGUGAAGCGGGAAAAGCUCAAAUUUGAAAUCUGGCAGUCUAUUUUUUCUUCUUUGGCUGUCCGAAUUGUAAUCUAGAGAAGUGCUUACCUGCACUGGACCAUGUAUAAGUCUCCUGGAAUGGAGCGUCGCAGAGGGUGAGAAUCCCGUCUUUGACAUGGACUGCCAGUGUGUUGUGGUGUGCUCUCAAAGAGUCGAGUUGUUUGGGAAUGCAGCUCUAAAUGGGUGGUAAACUCCAUCUAAAGCUAAAUAUUGGCGAGAGACCGAUAGCGAACAAGUACCGUGAGGGAAAGAUGAAAAGGACUUUGGAAAGAGAGUUAAACAGUAUGUGAAAUUGUUGAAAGGGAAACGCUUGAAGUCAGUUGUGUCGGCUAGGGAUCAACCUAGCUGUUUUUUGCUGGGUGAAUUUCCUAGUCUGACAGGCCAACAUCAGUCUUGACUGCUGGAAAAGAGCAGGGGGAAUGUGGCACCUUUGGGUGUGUUAUAGCCUUUUGUCAUAUGUGGCAGUUGGGACUGAGGGAUGCAGCGUGCCGCGAGGCUGGGUUUCGACCACGUUCACGCUUAGGAUGUUGGCUUAAUGGCUUCAAUCGACCCGUCUUGAAACACGGACCAAGGAGUCUAACAUGCCUGCGAGUGUUUGGGUGGAAAACCCUUGCGCGCAAUGAAAGUGAAAGUUGAGAUCCCUGUCAUGGGGAGCAUCGACGCCCGGACUUGAGCUUUUAGCGACGGAUCCGCGGUAGAGCAUGCAUGUUGGGACCCGAAAGAUGGUGAACUAUGCCUGAAUAGGGCAAAGCCAGAGGAAACUCUGGUGGAGGCUCGUAGCGAUUCUGACGUGCAAAUCGAUCGUCAAAUUUGGGUAUAGGGGCGAAAGACU